GAUAGAGGUUGCGUUUUUCAUAAGUACCGGUUCUGAUGUGACAGGCACAGAGGAGGAAGCGGGAAAGGGGACGACGCCGAAAGAGGAGAUGACCUGUGAUUCGAUUCUUGGGGAUGCAUCGAAGAGGUGUAUAACUGUCAUCUGACAAGAUGGGGCGCUAUCAGU
This 165-nucleotide non-coding RNA is filed under the name pig gut metagenome. Its description in RNAcentral is "Lysine riboswitch". It matches the Rfam family "Lysine riboswitch aptamer". Rfam says of the family: Riboswitches are metabolite binding domains within certain messenger RNAs that serve as precision sensors for their corresponding targets. The record is from RNAcentral.